Molecule: ribosomal RNA, 473 nt
Filed under: uncultured bacterium
Lineage: Bacteria
Description: SSU rRNA
Rfam family: Bacterial small subunit ribosomal RNA
Source: RNAcentral
AGGACGAACGCUUGCGACGUGCCUAAGAAAUGCAAGUCGAACGGACCAGCAGCAAUGCUGGUUAGUGGCGAACGGUCGCGUAACACGUGGGCAACCUGCCCUGAAGCGGGGGACAACAACUCGAAAGAGUUGCUAAUACCGCAUGUGUAUCGCUGUGGCAUCACAGAGGAUACAAAGCCGCAAGGCACUUCAGGAUGGGCCCGCGGCCUAUCAGCUUGUUGGUGAGGUAACGGCUCACCAAGGCUUCGACGGGUAGCUGGUCUGAGAGGACGAUCAGCCGGAUUGGGACUGAGAUACGGCCCAGACUCCUACGGGGGGCAGCAAUUAGGAAUCUUGCACAAUGGGCGAAAGCCUGAUGCAGCGACGUCGCGUGAAGGAUGAAAUCUUCGGGAUGUAAACUUCUUUACCAGGGAAGAAAUAAAUGACGGUACCUGGUGAAUAAGCCCGGCUAACUACGUGCCAGCAGCCGCGGU